UGUCUAGUAUAAGCAACUAUACCGUGAAACUGCGAAUGGCUCAUUAUAUCAGUCUAAAUAUACUUGAUAGUACCUUACUACUUGGAUAACCGUGGUAAUUCUAGAGCUAAUACAUGCUAAAAACCCAGACUUCGGAAUGGGUGUAUUUAUUAGAUAAAAAACCAAUGCCCUUCGGGGCUCCUUGGUGAUUCAUGAUAACUUAACGAAUCGCAUGGCCUUGUGCCGGCGAUGGUUCAUUCUAUAUUCUGCCCUAUCAACUUUCGAUGGUAGGAUAGUGGCCUACCAUGGUUUCAACGGGUAACGGGGAAUUAGGGUUCUAUUCCGGAGAGGGAGCCUGAGAAACGGCUACCACAUCCAAGGAAGGCAGCAGGCGCGCAAAUUACCCAAUCCCGACACGGGGAGGUAGUGACAAUAAAUACUGAUCUUGGGCCAUUUUUGGUCUAAGAAUUGGAAUGAGUACAAUUUAAAUCCCUUAACGAGGAACAAUUGGAGGGCAAGUCUGGUGCCAGCAGCCGCGGUAAUUCCAGCUCCAAUAGCGUAUAUUAAAGUUGUUGCAGUUAAAAAGCUCGUAGUUGAACCUUGGGCCUGGCUGGCCGGUCCGCCUCACCGCGUGCACUGGUCCGGCCGGGCCUUUCCUUCUGAGGAGCCGCAUGCCCUUCACUGGGUGUGUCGGGGAAUCAGGACUUUUACUUUGAAAAAAUUAGAGUGUUCAAAGCAGGCCUAUGCUCGAAUACAUUAGCAUGGAAUAAUAGAAUAGGACGUGUGGUUCUAUUUUGUUGGUUUCUAGGACCGCCGUAAUGAUUAAUAGGGAUAGUCGGGGGCAUCAGUAUUCAAUUGUCAGAGGUGAAAUUCUUGGAUUUAUUGAAGACUAACUACUGCG
This 880-nucleotide ribosomal RNA is filed under the name Leotiaceae sp. Its description in RNAcentral is "SSU rRNA". It matches the Rfam family "Eukaryotic small subunit ribosomal RNA", at positions 56 to 947 of the family's 1831-position model. The record is from RNAcentral. Lineage: Eukaryota; Fungi; Ascomycota; Leotiomycetes; Leotiales; Leotiaceae.